GCCGGGUGUGGUGGCGGGCACCUGUAAUCCCAGCUACUCGGGAGGCUGAGGCAGAGAAUUGCUUGAACCCAGGAGGCGGAGGUUGCAGUGAGCCCAGAUCGUGCCACUGCACUCCAGCCUGGGUGACAGAGCAAGACUCUGUCUCAA
RNAcentral lists this signal recognition particle RNA (147 nucleotides) under Gorilla gorilla gorilla (western lowland gorilla). Its description in RNAcentral is "Metazoan signal recognition particle RNA". It matches the Rfam family "Metazoan signal recognition particle RNA". From Rfam's summary of the family: The signal recognition particle (SRP) is a universally conserved ribonucleoprotein. It is involved in the co-translational targeting of proteins to membranes. The eukaryotic SRP consists of a 300-nucleotide 7S RNA and six proteins: SRPs 72, 68, 54, 19, 14, and 9. The record is from Rfam by way of RNAcentral. Lineage: Eukaryota; Metazoa; Chordata; Mammalia; Primates; Hominidae.